GACGAACGCUGGCGGCGUGCUUAACACAUGCAAGUCGAACGGAAAGGCCCUGCUUUUGUGGGGUGCUCGAGUGGCGAACGGGUGAGUAACACGUGAGUAACCUGCCCUUGACUUUGGGAUAACUUCAGGAAACUGGGGCUAAUACCGGAUAGGAGCUCCUGCUGCAUGGUGGGGGUUGGAAAGUUUCGGCGGUUGGGGAUGGACUCGCGGCUUAUCAGCUUGUUGGUGGGGUAGUGGCUUACCAAGGCGUUGACGGGUAGCCGGCCUGAGAGGGUGACCGGCCACCUUGGGACUGAGAUACGGCCCAGACUCCUACGGGAGGCAGCAGUGGGGAAUAUUGCACAAUGGGCGGAAGCCUGAUGCAGCAACGCCGCGUGCGGGAUGACGGCCUUCGGGUUGUAAACCGCUUUCGCCUGUGACGAAGCGUGAGUGACGGUAAUGGGUAAAGAAGCACCGGCUAACUACGUG
This 468-nucleotide ribosomal RNA is filed under the name uncultured bacterium. RNAcentral describes it as "partial 16S ribosomal RNA". It matches the Rfam family "Bacterial small subunit ribosomal RNA", at positions 28 to 507 of the family's 1533-position model. The record is from RNAcentral.